AAACGAGUACGGAAUCCCAACCCCUGUGACAUACCGCACGUUGCUUCGGCGGACCGCCCCGGCGCCCGAACUCUUCCCCUACGGGGAGGAGAGGGCCCGGACCCAGGCGCCCGCCGGGGGACCCAAACCCUUGCAUUCGCCGCCGGCGGAAUUUACUUCUGAGUGAAAAACAAAUGAAUCAAAACUUUCAACAACGGAUCUCUUGGUUCUGGCAUCGAUGAAGAACGCAGCGAAAUGCGAUAAGUAAUGUGAAUUGCAGAAUUCAGUGAACCAUCGAAUCUUUGAACGCACAUUGCGCCCGCCAGCACUCUGGCGGGCAUGCCUGUUCGAGCGUCAUUUCAACCCUCAGGCCCCCCAGGGGGCCUGGCGUUGGGGACCGGCCCUGGCCGACCCCUAAAUGCAGUGGCGACCCCGCCGCGGCCUCCCCUGCGUAGUAGCAACACCUCGCACCGGAGCGCGGAGGCGGUCACGCCGUUAAACGCACCAAUACCCAAGAGUUGACCUCGGAUCAGGUAGGAAUACCCGCUGAACUUAAGCAUAUCAAUAAGCGGAGGAA
This 556-nucleotide ribosomal RNA is filed under the name Ophiocordycipitaceae sp. SR2. Its description in RNAcentral is "eukaryotic LSU rRNA". The stretch from base 183 to 336 matches the Rfam family "5.8S ribosomal RNA". Lineage: Eukaryota; Fungi; Ascomycota; Sordariomycetes; Hypocreales; Ophiocordycipitaceae. The record is from RNAcentral.